CCUACGGGAGGCAGCAGUAGGGAAUAUUGCUCAAUGGUGGAAACCCUGAAGCAGCAAAGCCGCGUGGAGGAUGAAGGUUUUCGGAUUGUAAACUUCUUUUGUUAGAGAAGAUAAUGACGGUAUGUAAGGAAUAAGCAACGGCUAACUCCGUGCCAGCAGCCGCGGUAAUACGGAGGGUGCAAGCGUUACUCGGAAUCACUGGGCGUAAAGAGCGCGUAGGCGGGAUAGCAAGGCAGAUGUGAAAUCCUAUGGCUUAACCAUAGAACUGCAUUUGAAACUGUUAUUCUAGAGUAUGGGAGAGGUAGGUGGAAUUCUUGGUGUAGGGGUAAAAUCCGUAGAUAUCACGAGGAAUACUCAUUGCGAAGGCGACCUGCUGGAACAUAACUGACGCUGAUGCGCGAAAGCGUGGGGAGCAAACAGGAUUAGAUACCCCGGUAGUC
RNAcentral lists this ribosomal RNA (440 nucleotides) under uncultured bacterium. Its description in RNAcentral is "partial 16S ribosomal RNA". It matches the Rfam family "Bacterial small subunit ribosomal RNA", at positions 338 to 795 of the family's 1533-position model. The record is from RNAcentral.